Molecule: long non-coding RNA, 445 nt
Organism: Lates calcarifer (barramundi perch)
Lineage: Eukaryota; Metazoa; Chordata; Actinopteri; Centropomidae
Exons: 3
Source: RefSeq, a predicted model, not a curated record
AGAUGAGAUGUGUUAAGCUGUGAGAGCAGCUGCUGUGUCUGAUGAAUCACUGGAGUUUAUUCUGACUCAGUCCUGAUGCUCCACACGUGGUUCAUAUAAAAACUACAGAGCGUCUCUGAUCCAACACUUCACUUCAUCCUGUCACAGGUGGGGGGGGUCUGACCUUGGAGGUUCGUCUGGACCCUUUGGUUCUCCGGUUGUCCCCCUUGUUGGAGUUUCUUCUGAAGAUGAGCCAGGAACUGAGCGGAGACACCCGGGACAGAUCCGAGGAUGCCGACUCCUGAGGACAGAGACACACUCUGACCUUUAACCUCUGACCCAGAGCUCAGGGUUCAUCAACCAGCAGAUCGUCAAUCAGUUUUCUUACCGGGAUCUCGGUGCUGACGGCCUCGUCCUCGUCCAGGAUCUCCUGACUCUCCUCGCUGUCCAUGUCAUCGACGACCGC